GCUUUCCUGCUGCUGCAGAAAAGCCACUGACUCCUUUUGGACCCCAAACCCACCAACCCUAAUUGACCAACUUUAAGAUAAAAGCUAAAACUGUCCACGAUGGGCUGUUAUAGCCUCAACACGAGUUGUGCUGAAUGGAAAGCAGGCCAAGCUCGAUGAACAGGUCUUGGACUCUGGAACUGUUGCAGAUUUGGGACGCCCCUCUGUGGGCUCCAAAUCUGUUAAAGUAUCUUGAGUGCUGCCCUGCACCGUCUGGGUCUUUUGCAGAUGCCCGCGAUGAAGGGCUUGAUAUCGGAUGGGAACAAGUGAGAUGGAGCCGCUCAUGGGCACUGCAUUUCUGAGGCUCACUUGUAUGAGGAUGUUUGUCUGUGAAAAUGCCUUUGCCCCUCUUGCAUACAAUCCUUUCAGAACUGCUCCUGGAAGCUUUACCCUCUUCCUGAAGGAAAACUCACCAUGCUGCCUUUGCAAGCUGCUGCAAGUGAUGGAAUCCAAACGACUGCUGAGCCUGGGAGCACACCUGACAGCACUGACUAUGACACACCCUGGGGUGGGCCCAGCUCUGGCACUUUCCGCUCAGAACAGCUGCACCACACGUCAUCGACACUGGUCAUGGACGCUUUUGUUUGGAACAAAAUGCCUUCAACACACUCUCUGGCCCCCAGGGGACUCCCUUGUAGUCCUCUAGCUAGGAGAUGGGUCUCUAGUCUCCUGACACUGCUGUGCACUUCCCUCGAAUGGGUCUGACUCACUGGCCAAGUGGCAGGAGCAUAGAGAGAGAAUAUGGAAAUUAAUUUAAAAAAACCUGAACUAUAUUGAAUUGGAGUCAGGAAGGCCUGUAGGGGGAGAUCUUAUGCCCUAUGAUAUGUCCUCCAUGACACCAAAAAGGAAGAGGGGGAUGCCUGCAUCUUGGACAGGCAGUAAAACUACUUUACCACUGAAGGAAGAUUUCUCUACUCAUGCAGCAACAGCCCAGCCAAUGAGAAGAUAUGCCACUCUGAACUGUAACUUCCCCCCAAAGGACCUUCCUCCAGAACAGCCCUUCCAUACUCCCCCUUUUUCUCUACAAAAGCACCUCCCCUCCUUUCUUUUCUGAAUUUGCCUGUGGUUUUCCAUAGCAUGCACAUCCCAAAUUGCAAUUAUUUUGGCCAUUCUUGAAUAAACUCAUUUUGAGAUAAAAUAACAGGCAAAUUGACUUUUUAAGUUGACAAGAGAAAUAACAGAAGGGAUUCCUCUCACACUUUUGGUUCCCUCUGGCUUCUUUCAAGUUUUCUUCCUCUUUGAUUUUCUGCAGUUUGAAUAUAUGUCUGGCUGCAGAUUUUUUGUUUGUUUUGUAUCCUACUUGGUGUUCUCUGAGCUUCCUGAAUCUGUGGUUUGAUGUCGUGAAUUUGGGGAUGUUCUCAGCCAUUAUCACCUCAAAUAUUUCUUCUGUUCCUGUCUCUCUUUCUUCCCCUUCUGGAAUUCCACUACUGAAUGUUUCACCUUUUGCACUUGUCCCACAUUUCUUUUUCUGUCUUUGUUCUCUUUACAUUUCAGUUUUGGAAGUUUCUGUCGAUGAAUCUUCAAGCUCGCUCAUUCUGUCCUCUGCUGGGUCCAGUCUAUUGAUGAGCCCAUCAAAGGCAUUCUUCAUUUCUGUUACAGUGUCUUUUUUAAUAUUUUUUAUUGAGGUAAAAUAAAUAUAAAAUUUACCAUCGUAACCAGUUUUAAAUGCACAGUUCAGUGGUAUUAAGCACAUUCUUAUUGUUGUGCAAUCAUCGCCAUCAUCCAUCUCCAGGAUUCUUUUCAUCUUGCAAUACCCAAGAAACUCUAUACCCCUUAAACAAUAACUCCACAUUCCACCUUUUCCCAAACCCUGGCACCUAUCAUUCUACUUUCUGUCUCUAUGACUUUGACUACUCCAAGUACCUCAUGUAAGUGGAAUCAUACAGCAUUUUCCUUUUCAUGUCUCGCUUAUUUUACUUAGCACAGUGUCCUCACGGCUCAUCUGUGUUGUAGCAUGUUGACCUAAAACAAACAGCCAGUUAUUUUACCAGCAAAAUGGGUUCAUUCGGGAACAACAAAGAACUGCAAUCAGUGACAUGUGGUCCGUGGCAAACCACAGGCAUCUCCAGAGAAACAAAGGAGGAAAACAUUCUCUUAUGAAGCUGGGUGGGGCUGUUAUGUACAAAGAGUCCAUUGGAGGAACUUGGAAGCUUGAAGUCUAGUGAGUUUUCAUUGAUGAGUUAUGGCCGUCUCUCAUUGGCUGAACUGUUGCUGGACAAGGAGGAAUUUCUUCCUCCCUUCCUUCUGCUGGGGUGGUAAAGUAUAUCACUUCCUGUGGGAGAUGCAAGGUAUGUCUCUUCCUGUUGGGCUCUGUAGGGUGCAUUGAGAAGCUUGUGCAUGAGAGAUCUCUCUUCUGGCCUCCUGACUCCAUUUAAAAUAAGGUUUCUGUAUAUUAAUUGUCAGCAGAAUAUGUCAGAAUUUCCUUCCUUUUUAAGGCUGAAUAAUAUUCCAUUGUACGUUUGUACCACAUUUUGCUUAUUCAGUCACCUGUUGAUAGAUGCUUGGAUUGCUCCCAUUCUUUUAGUGUCCUGACUCUCAAUUUCAACAUUGGGGGGGUGAUUCCCACACAUACAACAAGAUAUUCUCAGACACGAGAAGAGUGUCCAAUGUGGACGAAAAUAAUCCAUAACCAAUCUAUAAAUGAAAAUUUGGGAGAGUUUAUUCUGAGCUAGAAUGUGAGGACCAUGGCCCAGGAGAGUCCUUCCACAAAGGAGCGGAGCACUCCAAAGAAGUGGGGGUAUACAGAGUGGUUAUAUACCCUCAAAGAGGAUGUUUCACAUAUGAUUGAAAUGUCCCUCUUACGAUAGUCACAAGAUUGCCCUGUCGGCACAGCCCUUGAUAGACCCAGCAGGUAGAGGGUCUGCUAUCUUGGCAGGCGCAGCAGGAAGCAAGUCUGUUGUCUCGAGCUGGGUGGUCACAGGUGAGCGCAGCAAUCAGUUCCUAGCCUAAGGAAAGAUGCUUAAUCUUUAAGGA
Equus quagga is the source of this 3012-nucleotide long non-coding RNA. RefSeq lists it as uncharacterized. NCBI's taxonomy places the organism in Eukaryota, Metazoa, Chordata, Mammalia, Perissodactyla, Equidae. The record is from RefSeq and is a predicted model, not a curated record. The transcript has 3 exons.